This 440-nucleotide ribosomal RNA is filed under the name uncultured bacterium. RNAcentral describes it as "partial 16S ribosomal RNA". It matches the Rfam family "Bacterial small subunit ribosomal RNA", at positions 338 to 795 of the family's 1533-position model. The record is from RNAcentral.
CCUACGGGUGGCAGCAGUAGGGAAUCUUUCACAAUGGGCGAAAGCCUGAUGGAGCAACGCCGCGUGCAGGAUGAAGGCCUUCGGGUUGUAAACUGCUUUUAUAAGCGAGAAAUAUGAUGGUAACUUAUGAAUAAGGAUCGGCUAACUACGUGCCAGCAGCCGCGGUAAUACGGAGGAUGCGAGCGUUAUCCGGAUUUAUUGGGUUUAAAGGGUGCGUAGGUGGUUAAUUAAGUCAGCGGUGAAAGUUUGUGGCUCAACCAUAAAAUUGCCGUUGAAACUGGUUGACUUGAGUAUAUUUGAGGUAGGCGGAAUUCGUGGUGUAGCGGUGAAAUGCUUAGAUAUCACGAAGAACUCCGAUUGCGAAGGCAGCUUACUAAACUGCCACUGACAUUGAUGCUCGAAAGUGUGGGUAUCAAACAGGAUUAGAUACCCCAGUAGUC